UACAGAGGGGGCAAGCGUUAAUCGGAUUUACUGGGCGUAAAGCGUGCGUAGGCGGUUCAUUAAGUCGGUUGUGAAAUCCCUGGGCUUAACCUGGGAACUGCAGUCGAUACUGGUGGACUAGAGUGCGGUAGAGGGUGGCGGAACUCCGGGUGUAGCGGUGAAAUGCGUAGAUAUCCGGAAGAACACCGAUGGCGAAGGCAACCACCUGGGCCUGCACUGACGCUGAGGUACGAAAGCGUGGGGAGCAAACAGG
This 253-nucleotide ribosomal RNA is filed under the name uncultured bacterium. RNAcentral's name for it is "partial 16S ribosomal RNA". It matches the Rfam family "Bacterial small subunit ribosomal RNA", at positions 524 to 776 of the family's 1533-position model. The record is from RNAcentral.